GAGACACCCCUAUGGGGCAGGACUUGCUUCAGUGGGACUUUGGUGCUCACUGAAUUUGCCCCUUGAGUGUGUUGCU
This is a non-coding RNA of Myotis brandtii (Brandt's bat), 76 nucleotides long. Lineage: Eukaryota; Metazoa; Chordata; Mammalia; Chiroptera; Vespertilionidae. The record is from Rfam.